GUACAGGCCCCAGCCAUACAGGACCAACUACACAGAGUACAGCCCCAGCCAUACAGGACCAACUACACAGAGUACAGCCCCCAGCCAUACAGGACCAACUACACAGAGUACAGCCCCCAGCCAUACAGGUAGGCGAUUUAGACCCCAUACAGGUAGGAUAUAUAGACCCCAUACAGGUAGGUUAUAUAGACCCCAUACAGGUAGGAGAUAUAGACCCCAUACAGGUAGGAGAUAUAGACCCCAUACAGGUAGGAGAUAUAGACCCCAUACAGGUAGGAUAUAUAGACCCCAUACAGGUAGGAGAUAUAGACCCCAUACAGGUAGGAGAUAUAGA
This is a long non-coding RNA of Oncorhynchus nerka (sockeye salmon), 334 nucleotides long. RefSeq lists it as uncharacterized. The transcript has 3 exons. The record is from RefSeq and is a predicted model, not a curated record. Lineage: Eukaryota; Metazoa; Chordata; Actinopteri; Salmoniformes; Salmonidae.